CAGUAGCCACGGGAAUACAGAGGGUGCGAGCGUUAAUCGGAUUUACUGGGCGUAAAGCGUGCGUAGGCGGCUUCUUAAGUCGGAUGUGAAUCCCUGAGCUUAACUUAGGAAUUGCAUUCGAUACUGGGAAGCUAGAGUAUGGGAGAGGAUGGUAGAAUUCCAGGUGUAGCGGUGAAAUGCGUAGAGAUCUGGAGGAAUACCGAUGGCGAAGGCAGCCAUCUGGCCUAAUACUGACGCUGAGGUACGAAAGCAUGGGGAGCAAACAGGAUUAAAUACCCCCGUAGUCCCUGUCUCUUAUACA
This 301-nucleotide ribosomal RNA is filed under the name uncultured bacterium. RNAcentral's name for it is "partial 16S ribosomal RNA". It matches the Rfam family "Bacterial small subunit ribosomal RNA", at positions 509 to 808 of the family's 1533-position model. The record is from RNAcentral.